CUGCCUGGUAGUGGGGGACGAACGUUUCGAAAGGAACGCUAAUACCGCAUACGUCCUACGGGAGAAAGCAGGGACCUUCGGGCCUUGCGCUAUCAGAUGAGCCUAGGUCGGAUUAGCUAGUUGGUGAGGUAAGUGGCUCACCAAGGCGACGAUCCGUAACUGGUCUGAGAGGAUGAUCAGUCACACUGGAACUGAGACACGGUCCAGACUCCUACGGGAGGCAGCAGA
This 228-nucleotide ribosomal RNA is filed under the name uncultured Pseudomonas sp. RNAcentral describes it as "partial 16S ribosomal RNA". It matches the Rfam family "Bacterial small subunit ribosomal RNA", at positions 126 to 354 of the family's 1533-position model. Lineage: Bacteria; Pseudomonadati; Pseudomonadota; Gammaproteobacteria; Pseudomonadales; Pseudomonadaceae. The record is from RNAcentral.